CAUGCAAGUCGAACGCGGUUACCCCGCAAGGGGUGAAUGAGUGGCAAACGGGUGAGUAGCGCGUGGGUGACCUGCCUUCGAGUGGGGGAUAACGUUUCGAAAGGAACGCUAAUACCGCAUGACAUCCUGCCUUUGGACAGGCGGAGAUCAAACCUGGGGAUCGCAAGACCUGGCGCUUGAAGAGGGGCCCGCGUCCGAUUAGCUAGUUGGUGGGGUAACGGCUCACCAAGGCGACGAUCGGUAGCCGGCCUGAGAGGGCGGACGGCCACACUGGGACUGAGAC
This 283-nucleotide ribosomal RNA is filed under the name uncultured Acidobacteriota bacterium. RNAcentral describes it as "uncultured Acidobacteria bacterium partial 16S ribosomal RNA". It matches the Rfam family "Bacterial small subunit ribosomal RNA", at positions 54 to 325 of the family's 1533-position model. Lineage: Bacteria; Pseudomonadati; Acidobacteriota. The record is from RNAcentral.